Molecule: ribosomal RNA, 116 nt
Filed under: Gammaproteobacteria bacterium
Lineage: Bacteria; Pseudomonadati; Pseudomonadota; Gammaproteobacteria
Also listed under: 1 other name
Source: RNAcentral
CCUGGUGGCAAUAGCGUGUAGGUACCACCUGAUCCCAUCCCGAACUCAGAAGUGAAACUGCUCAGCGCCGAUGAUAGUGUGGUGUUUCGCCAUGUGAAAGUAGGACACUACCAGGA